UGGGUGGAGUCGGAGUGCGUCUCUUCGUCUACCGCUCGCUCUCGGUGGCCGCAAACCCUAGCCCUAGCCGAGCCCCUGAACGGCUAAACCUCCACCUCGCCCGCGAUCUCCUCCCCGAGGAGGAGGAGGAGGAGGAGGAGGCAGGCGGCGCCAUGGACGCGAUGAGGAAGCAGCUCGACGUGCUCAUGGGGGCCAACCGCAACGGCGACGUGCGGGAGGUCAGCCGCAAGUACUACGACCGCGACGUCUGCCGUCUGUUCCUCGCCGGCCUCUGCCCCCACGACCUCUUCCAGCUCACGAAAAUGGAUCUCGGGCCUUGCCCCAAAGUUCACUCGCUUCAGCUACGGAAAGAUUAUGAAGAAAUAAAGGCAAAAGGAACAGAAAAUUAUGAUAGGGAACUUGAGGAAAUGAUAGACAGGCUCAUCGUGGAGUGUGAGCGGAAAAUUCAGAGGGCUCUGAAACGUCUUGCUGAUGAGGAUGCCAAGGCUGCUAUUGCAAUAUCUGUUUCUGAGGUUACUCAGACAGAUGAGGUGUUGCAGCUGUCAAAGGAAAUCAAGGAAAAAAUGAAAGAAGUUGAUACCUAUGAUUUUGAAGGGAAAACCGAUGAUAAAAUCAAGUCCUUGGAAGUGGUGGAAGAAUUAAGAUCUAAAAGGGCUGACAUGCAGGCUACCCUCCUGCUUGAUGCCUUUAACAAGGACAGAGCCUCAUUGCCUCAGCCUACUCCAGCACCUCAGAUGGCAUCAGUGCCAGCACCUGCUCCCCCUGAUGCCCGCACUCAGGAAAUGAUCAAUGAAAAGAUAAAGAAGGCUGAAGAGCUUGGUGAACAAGGGAUGGUAGAUGAAGCACAAAAAGUUAUGGAAGAAGCAGAAGCUCUGAAAAAGUUGGCAGCACGGAGGGAGCCACCUUCAGAUUCUACUAAAUAUACCGCUGCUGAUGUUCGAAUUACCGAUCAGAAGCUACGCCUCUGUGACAUAUGUGGAGCCUUUCUAAGCGUCUAUGACAAUGACCGACGUCUUGCUGACCAUUUUGGAGGAAAGCUACAUUUGGGCUACAUGCUGAUUCGCGAGAAACUGAAAGAACUACAGGUGCUGAAUGUUAUGUACCCUUUACUGCUUUAAAGAGUUACUCUGUUUUGGGCCUUUUGGCAUCUGUGAGUUUUCUUAUCUCAAGGAAGAACCUUCAGGUUCUCACCUUUUCUAUAUAUUAUUUCAUUUCUCACAUUGGAGGGCACAGUGGUUACUACAAUAGUCAUUACAGGAACUAGUCAAUGUUGAAUAAUUGGAAUCUCAUGUGAUCAUCCCUUCUAUCCAUGGCAACAACAGCUGUCAUAUACAGUUGGCAAAUAUAAGCGUAGGAGUGUGCAAAACAUGGUAUGGACAAUCAUGUUUUCUUAACUGUGUCAAGCUGCUCAUAUAAUCUGCUUAGUAUUAUGUUGAUCAGAAGAUGGAGAUUUCUUUGUGCUGAGUGAUCCAUAUUUUGUAGAGAUGGUGAUAAAUAGUACCGGUUAAGUUACUCUGAAAGUGCACUCCUUUUGCCAUCUUUUACUGUAAGUUACUAUAAGUUUGUAAGUUGUAAAUUGCUGGAGCAAUUUUAGCGUAAUGUAUCCACUUCUCCUUUUAUUUUAUUUUAUUUUGUUGUUUUCCUUUAUCUGUUUCUCUGUAUGCAAAUUGAAACACUAAUAUCAUGAUUUUAUCAUUAUAAAAUAUUUUAUCCUGCCUUCCAGGAGGAGAGAAGUAAAAGGAGGAAGGACAAACCUGAAGAUGACAGGCGAUCAAGAGAAUACAGCAAAGACCGCAAUGGUCAGGCAUCCAGGGAUAGAGAUGCAGACAGAAGGGACAGAGUUGAACCUCGAG
This is an RNA transcript of Oryza brachyantha (malo sina), 1853 nucleotides long. It is a transcript of the gene named putative RNA-binding protein Luc7-like 2, with no coding region annotated. Lineage: Eukaryota; Viridiplantae; Streptophyta; Magnoliopsida; Poales; Poaceae. The record is from RefSeq and is a predicted model, not a curated record. The transcript has 12 exons.